This is a long non-coding RNA of Mytilus californianus (California mussel), 612 nucleotides long. RefSeq lists it as uncharacterized. The transcript has 3 exons. The record is from RefSeq and is a predicted model, not a curated record. Lineage: Eukaryota; Metazoa; Mollusca; Bivalvia; Mytilida; Mytilidae.
CAAGAUCAAAUCCCAGUUGUAUGGAACGUACGUUUAUGGCUAUAGCUAUAGGUUUAGCAUUUCUGGGGCUGUUGUUAGUUAUAGUUAUCAUCGUUUUGUGUUGGCGAUGGAAACAAUGUUGCUUUGCUCAAGGUAAUAGACGCAGUGCAUUAAGUUCCAAUGAAAAUUCAGGAGCAAACGGAGGGGAAACUGCAUAUAUGAUGAAUUAAGAAACUUGCAUUUACUUAAUUGGACACAAUCCUAAUGUUCGAAACACGUAUGAUGCGUGUAUCUGGAUAAAAGGAAGUUUAGGAUUGUAUCGCACUGUUGUUUCUUAAUAGACGUGAAGAUUUAUUCAUCUUAUAAAAGUUAUCUAAAAUGAAAUAAUAAUAUAAGUACAGUUUUGGAUAAAUGAUGAUGAAAUAGUCGACAAAAAACGAUCAAGGUUAACAAACAGUUCACAUCCUUAGCUUGGCAGUGUUAUGCCAACAUUUUACAUAUAGGAGAGAUGAAUUUUUCUCAUUUCUGUGUUGACAUAAAUUAUCAUUGAUAUGGUAAUAAUUAUAAAUUAACUGUUUACAAAACUUGUUUUUAAAAUGUUAAGAAUUUCCUACCCCAGGAAUAGAUUACCAU